RNAcentral lists this unclassified non-coding RNA (378 nucleotides) under uncultured bacterium. Its description in RNAcentral is "contains 16S-23S intergenic spacer region". The record is from RNAcentral.
UCGCGGCUUAUCACCGGCAGUCUCCCUAGAGUGCCCAACUAAAUGAUGGCAACUAAGGACGAGGGUUGCGCUCGUUGCGGGACUUAACCCAACAUCUCACGACACGAGCUGACGACAGCCAUGCAGCACCUGUCUCAAUGUUCCCGAAGGCACCAAUCCAUCUCUGGAAAGUUCAUUGGAUGUCAAGGCCUGGUAAGGUUCUUCGCGUUGCUUCGAAUUAGACCACAUGCUCCACCGCUUGUGCGGGCCCCCGUCAAUUCAUUUGAGUUUUAAUCUUGCGACCGUACUCCCCAGGCGGGGUGCUUAAAGCGUUAGCUGCGGCACGGAGGGGGUCGACACCCCCCACACCUAGCAUCCACCGUUUACAGCGUGGACUAC